AGUUACGUCGGGGAUCAGGGCUUCAAUACAUGAAUUUGGGGAGAACAUAAGUUCAUGACACAUGUGUACAAAACUUUCAUUGGUAUAGAUGAGAUUCAGUGAACCAAGUCUCAGCUCUUCAAAAUGAUUCUACAAUGUCCAAUAGUUUCCAUCCCCCUCAACCUGGGUCUGAUCUGCUAGCAGUGAAGGAAAGGCAAAUUAGAUUUUUAAGUUUUAAGCGCCAGGAAGCAUGCUGUGGGGCUCCAGAGAACAUAACUACAAUUACACAAG
Macaca mulatta (Rhesus monkey) is the source of this 270-nucleotide non-coding RNA. The record is from RefSeq and is a predicted model, not a curated record. Lineage: Eukaryota; Metazoa; Chordata; Mammalia; Primates; Cercopithecidae.